RNAcentral lists this unclassified non-coding RNA (327 nucleotides) under plant metagenome. RNAcentral describes it as "partial contains small subunit ribosomal RNA, internal transcribed spacer 1, and 5.8S ribosomal RNA". The record is from RNAcentral.
UUUCCGUAGGUGAACCUGCGGAAGGAUCAUUAUUGAAUAUUCUUGAUGAGUUGUAGCUGGCUCUUUGGAGCAUGUGCACGCUUGUCUUGAUCUUAUUCAUCCACCUGUGCACAUUUUGUAGUCUUUUGGGCUGGGUCGAGUAUCGGAUGGACGUCUAUCCGGAUGUGAGGACUGCUGAGUGCGAAAGCAUACGGCUCUUCUCUGUUUGACCUCACCCUUGAGUACUAUGUAUUCAUAUACCACAUAGUAUGUUGUAGAAUGUGAUCAUUGGGCCUUUGUGCCUAUAAUAAUCAUAUACAACUUUCAGCAACGGAUCUCUUGGCUCUC